Molecule: ribosomal RNA, 253 nt
Filed under: uncultured bacterium
Lineage: Bacteria
Description: partial 16S ribosomal RNA
Rfam family: Bacterial small subunit ribosomal RNA
Source: RNAcentral
UACAGAGGUCUCGAGCGUUAGGCGGAAUCACUGGGCUUAAAGCGUGUGUAGGCGGACUGGUAAGUACCUUGUGAAAUCCCACGGCUCAACCGUGGAACUGCUUGGUAUACUGCUUGUCUUGUGCAACCUAGGGGCGAGCGAAACAGAUGGUGGAGCGGUGAAAUGCGUAGAUAUCAUCUGGAACGCCAAUGGUGAAAACAGCUCGCUGGGGGUUUGCAGACGCUGAGACACGAAAGCCAGGGGAGCAAACGGG